GGAAGUGCACAGCUCACUGGUGGGGCUCCCGGACUUCAAAUCCGGUGUGAGGCGCUAGAACCGUCUCGGGUGGGUUCGAUUCCCAUGCACUUCCGCCA
Molecule: transfer RNA, 98 nt
Filed under: Deltaproteobacteria bacterium
Lineage: Bacteria; Pseudomonadati; Myxococcota; Myxococcia
Also listed under: 2 other names
Description: tRNA-Sec
Rfam family: Selenocysteine transfer RNA
Source: RNAcentral